GAAUCAAUUUUACUGUCACUUUACUAUUUGAUGUUUACACUGAGAUGUGGAAUCAAAUGCGUUUCAGAUUCCUCUUCAGAAAUUGACAUGAUGCAAGUAAAUUAUGAUCACAUAGCACCCCGUGAGUUUCGUUUAUCAUCAUCAAGGCAUUGCGUUGCAGAUGAACAAUCAUUUCACUGCUCAAAGAUGAUGUCGUUCACAGUCUUCAAAAUGUCUAAUCGGGUAACAGCAGUGACUGCACCUGAACAGAAGAUCGGAUUCAUGACAAAGAUCCAGAAUUUUUUCCGCCGUGGUUCUAAGACUGCGACUGCCAUGUCUGAACAAACAGACUCUGAAAUCAAAAUUGAUGGUAUGUACAGUAUAUAUAUAUGACCAAUGGAUCCUCUGCAGUGAAUGGGUGCCGUCAAAAUUAGAGUCAUACAGCUGAUAAAAACAUCACAAAAUGUCCAUAAGUGAUCCACAUGACUCCAGUCCAUCAAUUAACAUCUUGAGAAGUGAAAAACUGUGUGUUAGUAAGAGACAACCCCGUGAUAAAGGCCUUUUUAACUUUAAACCUUUGUUUUGGCUCAAAUACAACUGGUCUUAAAAGUCGUCUAAUCUGAAUCAGGAGAGAAGUAUGCACAGAUCCAAAGUCCAUAACAGUUUUAAACAAAUUUGUUUGUGGAUUGUGAUGUGAGAGGACAACAGGUGAUGGACUCUAUCACUGGAGGAAGAAGUGUUAUUAUGGAAUAUAAACUCAUAUUUUGGCCAGAAGUUAUGGUUAAAGUUAAAACGUCUUGAUGAAGUUGUUCCUUUAC
RNAcentral lists this long non-coding RNA (797 nucleotides) under Carassius auratus (goldfish). RNAcentral describes it as "lncRNA (ENSCARG00000066761.1)". Lineage: Eukaryota; Metazoa; Chordata; Actinopteri; Cypriniformes; Cyprinidae. The record is from RNAcentral.